Non-coding RNA from Aegilops tauschii subsp. strangulata, 2335 nucleotides. NCBI's taxonomy places the organism in Eukaryota, Viridiplantae, Streptophyta, Magnoliopsida, Poales, Poaceae. The record is from RefSeq and is a predicted model, not a curated record.
CACUGGUCGAGUAGCCGUCGCCAUCAACAGUAGAAGCACUGGUCGCUGGACCGUAGGUCAACACGCCGUCGCCGUACAAGUCGGAUCUCCUUCGCCCCUCUUCUCCGGCCGCCGGCUGGCGCCCUCCCUUUGCUGGAAGGCGAGAAGGGCCGGCGGAUCCAGUCCCCGGCGUGGUCCUCUCCCUUCACCUCGCGCCGCCGACCUGGGCUCCCUCUUCUUCCACGGCCACAGCUUGGGGUUGCUGCCGGCUGAGAUCGUCCAAGACGACGACAAAGGGUUUGACUCCUACACCAAUCUCAUCAAGGUUGCUGUUCUCGACACUCCUGAUGUUGUUUCUCAGAGCAAUGCCACGCUAAGUUGCUCGCUCAAAGGGCGACAACCUGCUAUGGGGUGGUUCUCCAUGUGAGUAAUAUAACCUGCUAUGGGAUGGUUCUCUUUAUUCCACACUGCCUAAACUGACCACUGUUUGCAAGCUUUAGUUCUUAUUUGUUAAUAAUCGUGGGGUUCGGACCACGGCACUAGCGUCCCCUUGUCAUCAGCGGCGGCGGCUUAGGUUUUAUAUUUCUGCAGAAUUAUGUGAUGGAGCCUUGAUAUGUACCAUGACUUAAGUUCUGGACGUGCAUCGAGUAAAUGCAGCAGCCUUGAUGUUUGAAGUUACAUGGGCAUGGACUCUAAUUUGCAACCAGAAAGUUUAUACCGUUGUUGUGUGGGGAAAUUUGCACAUCCAACUAUUUGAUCUGGGAAAUGCAACGCCUCGCCACAGACUGUCAACGCAUUCAUGGUGGAGGGAAAGAUUGGUGUUGAUCCUGUUUGUAAAAUGGAAAGGAUGGAUGGGAGCUCUUCUGCGACAAAUAUAGAACUAUAGACCCAACUCUGAAGAUCAAGGCUUACUGUAUGGACAGUGUUUUGGUCUUUUGUGCUGAGGCUGGCCUGGCCCAGCACGGAGAGGAAAGCGGACGCGCCCACCACGGACCACUUUGUGGGCGAGCCUGUACCAGAUCACGAGGCCAGGCGGCGGUGGCCGCACAGGUACAUCAAUGUCAAGGGCUCUGGUCAUUCCCACGAUAGGUGGUAUGCGUCUCUGAAUCGAUUCUCAUCAUUCACUCUGUUCACUCCAUGUCAAACAGCUCUGCAGAUUGGGAAGGGGAGCAGAUCAGUGCCCGGUGCCACUACACUUCUGCUUCCGUUGACAAUGUCAUAUUCAAUCUCAACGACGAUGUCUUCAUCAAGAGGACGAAUGAAGCAACAAAGAUUAUGUUGGUCCAUAGAGCCCUACUACAUUCCUUUCCUGGCUAAAAAGGGAAUAUUGUCGCUCGCUGUCUACCCACUUCGACCAGGUUCAUAUGACAUGGCACAUGAUGAGUUAGGCAAUGAGAUGCGAGUGAAACUAUGAGAUGACCGAGUGAGACUACUGAACAUUAUGAUUUAGUAGAACUACAUAGGCCGCUCUGGCUUGCUUGGAUAUGUAACAACCCAACUAUUGUCCCUACUUAAUGAGGAUCCAUAGUCUUGACUUACUUUUCAAACCAAAUUUAUAUCCCCUCUUUAUCGUGAACUUGCCAAUCAACUGUUCUAUUAAUCAAAUGUAUCUUGCUUUGCUUUUGGUAUGUCUAAUUGUCUUGCGCUUUGGCGUUGAUUUAAUAAAAUGCCAUGAGUGUCCUGGGCAAAGGUAAUACCAUGUUUUUAAUGUAUACUUGUUGUACUGGGCUGAUCCAAUUGCUUAAAUUCACAUUUGACAACACUAAAUGACCAAAUGCUUUGUUUAAGCGCUUGACAAUAUGUUGAGCCAGGCACCGCGCGCCAAGGCGUGUUUCCUACCUAAUUGAUUCGUUAUCUGAUUCAAAACACUACUCUUUGCUGCUGAUGUAAUCAGCAUAAUUGUAUUUCUUUUAGAUAUUAUUGAAGCUGCCUAAACAACAUGUGUUGUCAUUUUCAUACUACAGGAAAAGAAGAGCUCCUAAUAUUUUGUAUGCUCCAUGCCGUGAGUUGCCACCUCUUGCCACAUGUUCGUGCUAAUUAUCAACCAUUUGAUCAAGUCAAAGGCAACAGAAAGGCACAAAGGCGAUCAAGGUCCUUAUGUACACCGAGUACUAUCUUUUGUCUACUAAUAAUUGCAAGUUAGAAAAAAGAAGUUCCAACUCUUUCAAGCAGUGUUUGUGUUUCUAUUGGGCAAAGCAAGAGUUUAUUGUAAAAAAAAAAAGGAAACUAACUAAGUCAUGCAUUAUGUAUUUACUGGUGGUGUCUAAGGAGAACAUAUGUGGUCUAUAUCUGAAUCUAUGAACUACUAUAUUGAUGAUGUCGAGUUAUGUCUACAUAGCCUACCUUCGAAUGCUUA